This 180-nucleotide unclassified non-coding RNA is filed under the name uncultured Cortinarius. RNAcentral's name for it is "sequence contains ITS2". Lineage: Eukaryota; Fungi; Basidiomycota; Agaricomycetes; Agaricales; Cortinariaceae. The record is from RNAcentral.
AUAUAUAUAUCAGACUUAUCUUUGUUGAGUGGUCUGGAUGUGGGGGUUUUUGCUGGCUUGUUCAGCUCCCCUGAAAUGCAUUAGCAGAACAAACCUUGUUCAUUGGUGUGAUAACUAUCUACGCUAUUGAAUGUGAGGGGAAGUUCAGCUUUCUAACCGUCCUUGGACAAUUCAUCAUUA